GCUUUUGCGAGUGAAGUGUUGUCGAGGAACUGAGGAUCGCUACACUGGUCGCUUUUUUUUGGAAGGGAUCGAUUCGAAGCGGCGACGUUUUAAGGAUGUGGGCCAGGUGGGACCGACUUAAAUUAAGAGAACAAAAUUAAACAUAAUAAUAUGAGAAGAAACCAUCCUCUGUGCGCAACUCGUCUCCCAAUUUAUUUUUACCCAUUUUAAUUUUCAUUUUCUUUGACUUUGACUCCAGAAACAACGGAAAUCGGGGGUGGGCUCAAGAAAAGUAUUAUGAGGACGGGAACGGAGUAUAAAAACAUGAGAAAGACCGAAGACUUUUGUUCAAAAUGAAAGACGAAAGCAAACAAAGUUCAAAAAAGCCAAAUUGAAAUCCGAUUUUGAAGUCCGUCGUCUGCAAAUUUCCAACACAAACAAAACAGAAGAAGACGGCCGUGUAAACAUGCUACUCAGUUAAACCUUUCCUUAAGUAUUCCUCCGCGGUUUCGCCCAGGAUAAUAACCCUGUGGCUGUUUUUUUUUUCUUUUUUUUAUAGAUUUAGUUAGUGGUCGUGGAUGGGCCAGUCAUUUUCGACGGCGAAACUCACUAGCCGUCGAGAUUGUAACCAUAGCCAACGGUCAAAAUCGAAAUCAACGGCCAUAAUCUGCCCGAUGCAAGUUGAGGAAGCUGAAGAGCUUGACCGAAGAAACAUAAAUGGAUUAUCGGAUUUUAUCUCGGAUCUACCCGACGAGUGUUUGGCUUUCAUUUUUCAGUGUCUUAGUCCCGGUGACAGGAAAAAAUGCUCUCUUGUUUGCUGGCGGUGGUUGAGGAUUGAAGGACAGAGCCGUCAUCGACUCUCCCUCAACGCUCAAUCAGAUCUGCACCCUCUGAUUCCUUCAAUAUUCUCUCGCUUCGACGCUGUCACGAAACUGGCUCUGAAAUGUGACCGUAGAUCUGUUAGCAUCGGCGACGAAGCGCUUGUUCAAAUCUCCGAGCGUUGCCGGAACUUGACUCGCCUUAAGCUCCGGGCUUGCCGUGAAUUGACCGAUACAGGCAUGUCGGCUUUCGCUAAAAACUGCAGGGGUCUAAAGAAGCUCUCUUGUGGAUCUUGCACUUUUGGAGCAAAAGGCAUGAACGCAGUGCUCGACAACUGUCCAGCUCUUGAGGAACUCUCCGUGAAACGACUUCGGGGCCUCACCGACGGGCUUGCAGUGGAGCCGAUAGGGCCAGGGGUGGCGGCGAAGGCGUUGAAAACGAUUUCCUUAAAAGAGCUUUACAAUGGACAGUGCUUUGGUCCGCUUAUUAUUGGUGCAAAGAAUCUGAAAUCUUUAAAACUUUUUAGAUGCUCUGGUGAUUGGGAUAAGAUUUUCCCUCUUAUAGUGGACCGGGUCACGGGUAUGGUAGAGAUCCAUAUGGAGCGGAUCCAAGUCAGUGAUGUCGGUCUCGCGGCCAUAGCCAACUGUUUAAAUCUAGAAAUUCUUCACCUCGUUAAGACUCCUGAGUGUACCAACUUCGGACUCGGAGCUGUUGCUGAGAAAUGUAAAUUGUUAAGGAAGCUUCACAUUGAUGGAUGGAAAGCGAAUCGAAUAGGUGACCAAGGAUUAAUCGCUGUUGCCCUAUCUUGCCCUAAUUUACAAGAGUUAGUUCUUAUUAGUGUUAAUCCGACGAAACUGAGUUUGGAAAUGUUAGCUUCGAAUUGUCAGAAUUUGGAACGGUUAGCUUUAUGCGGUAGUGAUACGGUUGGUGAUGCGGAGAUUUCAUGUAUUGCUGUGAAAUGUAUAGCUUUAAAGAAGCUUUGUAUUAAGAGUUGCCCUGUUUCAGAUCAUGGAAUGGAAGCGCUUGCUAGUGGUUGCCCGAAUUUGGUUAAAGUGAAACUGAAGAAAUGUAGAGGAGUAACUUCGGAGGGGGCUGAUUGGUUAAGAGCAAUUAGAGGAUCACUUGCGGUUUAUUUGGAUACAGGGGAACAUUUAGAUGCAAGUGCCAGUGAUGGUGGGGCACAAGAUAAUGGAGUUGAAUUUCCGCCGGGGGUGGCUGGUCAAAUUGGAGCUCCUACUAUUGCUUCGAGCAGCACGGGUCGAUCAACAUCAUUUAAGUUGUUAGGGCUUUUGAGUGGGAGGAGUUUUGUGGCUAGCACUUUGAGGAGGUUGGCAAGUAGUAGUGGUAGUUCUCGCAGUUAAUAUGGAUUGGAGGAGGCGAAGUUGCAAUGUAAAAAGAGAGGGAAAAAAAGCACUCUUGAUCUUUAACUAUAUACUUUAUUUUGUGUUAUGGUAUCCGAUUCCCUUGUUUAAGUAUUUAAUUCAAUGCUGUGUGCUGUUGAUUGCCUUUUGAAUUGAAUCUACAUCUUCAAAAGUGAUAGUUUCUCUUUUAUUUUCCCAUAUUUCUGUUGAGUCUUAGCUUUUUGCUAUGAGUUUCUUUAUUUAGCUACCUUUUUUAUUUUUUGGUCACAAAUAUAAUUAUCCUGUAUGGAAUUUGAAAAAGCAGCACCCUAAUGCAUUAUUGAGUAUGUUACAAAGCUCAUUAGAUAGGUGUAUUUGUAUUUAAACUACUUGACUUCAUGAUUUUCAGCAUCAAAUUGUUGAAUAUCAGUAAAAUAAUGAUAGAAGUUUUCUGCUUUAUGGUCAAUUUAUAUGUCAAUUGAAUACAGAUAUGUCUAUUGUCUGUUGCUGAAUUGUUUCAAACAUGAUCAAAGGUACAGGUCAGGAGUUAGAACCUCGAACCAAAUUAGACCUUUUGAUUUGCAAUUUGCAUUUCUAUGCAAGUGAAAACUGAGUUUGAAACAUGAACAUUUUGAUUCUUUGGAAAGUGUAGUUCUUUUAUGUUAUUUUUGGUUUGAUGAGAAAAGGUUUGAUAGGUAGAUAUUAUGAAUGCUACUGUUGCAUGACAUUAGUAAAUUCUCUUAUGAACUAUUUUUUUUUUAAUCUCUAUUUGAAUUAUUAUUAGUUAUUGCUUUGUUGUUUUCCAAGCCAUUUUUUAAUGGUUUGUGAUGCUUCUGGUUGAUUUUAUUUUACCAUGACUUACUGAUAUGCGAUAUUAAGUGAUUUUAUUGGUUGGAAACUGCAUUAGGAAAUUCAUUGUGAGACAUUAUAUGCUGUCACGUGUCAUCUCAUUUUUUGCUUUGAAAACGGAAAGUUAGCUAGCAUGUAGUUAACUUUACUCAUUCACUUAUUAUCUAACACCUAAUUGGGGGGUUAAUUAAUUUCAUCUCACAUGUAAGUAUAUGCAUAUGGAUAAGUAGUUAAAAGUGAGGAACUGUUAUCAUAUUACAUUUGCAUCAUCUUAAUGUUUGUCUAGAUAGUAGCAUUUUUCAAUGUUCUCUUAAUUAUUACAGAGGCACAGGUUUCUGAAAUUUUUGACAAUUUCUGGUUUUGGCUGUGCUCUUAUAAAUCUAGCCUGGAUGUAUUGCAAUGAUUAUCAACUUGUUUGGGAUAUCAUUUUAUAUUGUUAUCUGACGAGGUACAGCAAAAAAAAAAAAAAAUCAAGAUCAAUGUGAAAAAUGAAAUUAGGUAUAUUAUUCAGAUGCUAUCAGAAAGUUCCAAUUGAAUCAGGUGGGAGGGCAAUGAUUUUUGGACAAACUGAUUGGAUGAUUGCCUCGCAACUGACUGCAACUCUUUACAUGGUGCUCCUUUAUCUACACAACCGAAAGUGAGUAUUGCCAGGAAAGUUGGUUUUCACCAAGGGAUGGUAUAGAUUAUCCUUAACAUUGCAGCAGACUGGAUCUGAGCCAGCAAAUAUCCUUCAGCUGAUAGAAAUGCUUUCUAUCCCUUGGAACCGGCACUUGGGUUUUGUUCUGUUCGUAACAAGACAUUCGGAUGCUAACUCUUGCAAGCUGAAAAACCAUGGCUUCAGGCAUAUUAUCUAGCGAGGCUGGAAAGCUUGGGCCGCAGUGAACCAUCAAUAUCUUUGUUUUUUAGAAUCCUGAAAAAAGAUGAAAGAGUAAGAAAAAGCCAUUGUAGACUGUAUAGUUGAUCGUUAACGAACAGACACAGGCAUCGGGACCAACAAUGAAGAUUUCAUGGUGAACUGCUCACAAGUCUUCAAUUCAUAAAAUUCUAAAUUACAUCCUAAAAGAUUGACUCGUUGUGGUUUAUUCAUUGACUACAACCUUUACUGCCAAAAACAUUUGAGUACAAGGAAAUGUAUGUGCAGGACUUGAUGCAAUGCAAUAUAAGAUCUGACCCGAGAGGAGUGAAGAAUAUAACAUAAAUG
This is a non-coding RNA of Durio zibethinus, 4188 nucleotides long. NCBI's taxonomy places the organism in Eukaryota, Viridiplantae, Streptophyta, Magnoliopsida, Malvales, Malvaceae. The record is from RefSeq and is a predicted model, not a curated record.